This 72-nucleotide transfer RNA is filed under the name Myotis brandtii (Brandt's bat). It matches the Rfam family "tRNA". From Rfam's summary of the family: Transfer RNA (tRNA) molecules are approximately 80 nucleotides in length. Their secondary structure includes four short double-helical elements and three loops (D, anti-codon, and T loops). Lineage: Eukaryota; Metazoa; Chordata; Mammalia; Chiroptera; Vespertilionidae. The record is from Rfam by way of RNAcentral.
GCUAGUGUGGCUCAGUGGUUGAGCAUCGACCCAUGGACCAAGAGGUCCCAGGUUCGAUUCCUGGCCAAGGCA